Molecule: ribosomal RNA, 426 nt
Filed under: uncultured Actinomycetales bacterium
Lineage: Bacteria; Bacillati; Actinomycetota; Actinomycetes; Actinomycetales
Description: bacterial SSU rRNA
Rfam family: Bacterial small subunit ribosomal RNA
Source: RNAcentral
GGGGAAUAUUGGACAAUGGGCGCAAGCCUGAUCCAGCCAUGCCGCGUGGGUGAAGAAGGCCUUCGGGUUGUAAAGCCCUUUUGUUGGGAAAGAAAAGCAGCCGGCCAAUACCCGGUUGUUCUGACGGUACCCAAAGAAUAAGCGCCGGCUAACUACGUGCCAGCAGCCGCGGUAAUACGUAGGGCGCGAGCGUUGUCCGGAUUUAUUGGGCGUAAAGAGCUCGUAGGCGGUUUGUUGCGUCUGCUGUGAAAACGCGGGGCUUAACUUCGCGCGUGCAGUGGGUACGGGCAGGCUAGAGUGCGGUAGGGGAGAUUGGAAUUCCUGGUGUAGCGGUGGAAUGCGCAGAUAUCAGGAGGAACACCGAUGGCGAAGGCAGGUCUCUGGGCCGUUACUGACGCUGAGGAGCGAAAGCGUGGGGAGCGAACA